Molecule: ribosomal RNA, 1391 nt
Filed under: Pseudo-nitzschia pungens
Lineage: Eukaryota; Bacillariophyta; Bacillariophyceae; Bacillariales; Bacillariaceae
Description: partial Bacterial large subunit ribosomal RNA
Rfam family: Bacterial large subunit ribosomal RNA
Source: RNAcentral
UUACAGCAUUAAAUGGAUACUUAAGCAUUAAGAUUCAAAAUGGGCGUUUUAUAACGAAAUAUUACAAGGAGUAGACUAGAAUGCUUAGAUCUGUAAUUCCCCAUAAAUUCGGAAAACUGAUCUUCAACUAAUGAAGAAUUGUCUAAAGCUGUUUUUAGGCAAAAAAUUUGGUGAAUUGAACCAUCUAAGUAACCAAAGUCCAAAAAUCAAACGAGGUGCUGUUAGUAGUGGCGAGCGAACGCAGCAAUAGACUUGAAAAUCGAAAAAUCUAUUUAAUAUUUACAAUAGCCGUAGUAUGGUAACCUAAAAUACAGGACAGCCCUGUAAAAUAGAAUUUAAGUUUUCGUUUAGUAAGGUAAACUAAGUCAUAGUUUGCCUGAAUAUUGGGGGACCACCCUCAAAGUCUAAAACUCUUAAUGACUGAUAGUGAAUAGUACCGUGAGGGAAAAGUGAAAAAGACUUUGCGAAAGUGAAAAGACUUUGAAAUUUAAUGCUAACAAUCUGUCGUAGUUUUUAAAAUGACGACGUACCUUUUGCAUAAGGGACCAACAAGUUUAUUUUAGUGGCGAGCUUAAGUAAUUAGAUACGUAGGCGCAAAGAAAUUAAGUUUUAAAAGGCUGUUAUUAGUCUCUAGAAUAAGACCCGAAACUAAGUGAUCUAGUCAUGAACUGGUUGAAGUUUAGGCGGCAACGCCUUUCGGAGGACCGAACCCGUGUAUGUGGAAAAAUACUGGGAUGAUUUGUGAUUAGGGGUGAAAGGCCAAUCAAACUGGGAGAUAGCUCGUACUCUCCGAAAUGCAUUUAGGUGCAGCGUUGCGUGGUUCUUGUUGGAGGUAGAGCACUGGAUGGUCUAGGGGGCUUAUCGGCUUACCGAAAUCAGCCAAACUCCGAAUGCUGGCAAGUGUAGCGUGGCAGUGAGACGGCGGGGGAUAAGCUUCGUCGUCGAGAGGGAAACAGCCCAGAUCAUCAGCUAAGGCCCCUAAGUGGUGACUCAGUGGGAAAGGAUGUGGAGUUGCGUAGACAACCAGGAGGUUGGCUUGGAAGCAGCCAUCCUUGAAAGAGUGCGUAAUAGCUCACUGGUCAAGUGAUUCCGCGCCGAUAAUGUAGCGGGGCUUAAGUUAUCCGCCGAAGCUGUGGCAACCUGUGUGGUUGGGUAGGGGAGCGUCGUGUCAGUGGUGAAGCUGCCGGGUGACUGUGUGGUGGAGUUGAUGCGAGUGAGAAUGCAGGCAUGAGUAGCGUGUGACGGGUGGGAAUCCCGUCCGCCGAUUAUCCAAGGGUUCCAGGGUCAAGUUUGUCUGCCCUGGGUGAGUCGGGUCCUAAGGCGAGGCCGACAGGCGUAGUCGAUGGGUAACCAGUUGAUAUUCUGGUACCGGCUUGUCACCGUCCGUGUCG